RNAcentral lists this long non-coding RNA (274 nucleotides) under Elaeis guineensis (African oil palm). RNAcentral's name for it is "long non-coding RNA (EGUI_LNC027207)". Lineage: Eukaryota; Viridiplantae; Streptophyta; Magnoliopsida; Arecales; Arecaceae. The record is from RNAcentral.
GGCCUGCCAACCCUCUAGUCGCUCCCAUAUGGCGCACUCCACACCCUCAGUCUCAGAUCUCCAUAAUCUACGGCUAGAGAUGGGCACAUCAAGAUACUGUAGAAUCCCAGUAUGCUUAGCAAUCUCCAACUUCUCCAUGAUAGAUCGGUGCAGUUGCACUGAUAUCCUCAGGCUAAAAUGGACAGCUGACUUGCUAAGGUUCACCUUCUAUCUCGAUGCUCGACAAUAGUCCUCCAUGAUCGCUCUGAAUCCAGUGGCACUCCGGAUGCUAGCC